This 441-nucleotide ribosomal RNA is filed under the name uncultured bacterium. RNAcentral's name for it is "partial 16S ribosomal RNA". It matches the Rfam family "Bacterial small subunit ribosomal RNA", at positions 339 to 795 of the family's 1533-position model. The record is from RNAcentral.
CUACGGGAUGCUGCAGUAGGGAAUCUUGCUCAAUGGGCGAAAGCCUGAAGCAGCGACGCCGCGUGCGGGAUGAAGGCCCUCGGGUCGUAAACCGCUUUCAGCAGGAACGAAAUUGACGGUACCUGCAGAAGAAGCCCCGGCCAACUACGUGCCAGCAGCCGCGGGUGAUACGUAGGGGGCAAGCGUUGUCCGGAUUUAUUGGGCGUAAAGAGCUCGUAGGCGGUUCGGUAAGUCGGGUGUGAAAUAUCAGGGCUCAACCCUGAGAGGCCACUCGAUACUGCUGUGACUAGAGUCCGGUAGAGGAGUGUGGAAUUCCUGGUGUAGCGGUGAAAUGCGCAGAUAUCAGGAGGAACACCCAUGGCGAAGGCAGCACUCUGGACCGGAACUGACGCUGAGGAGCGAAAGCGUGGGGAGCGAACAGGAUUAGAUACCCCAGUAGUC